CUCCUUUUAUGGCUCACAAGCAUGGCAGCUGAGUUUGAACACCACUGUGUGAGAUGUGCCUCCUUCAAACCUUGUCAUGCCAUUGGCGCAUUUCCCAUCUGGUA
Molecule: small nucleolar RNA, 104 nt
Organism: Oryctolagus cuniculus (rabbit)
Lineage: Eukaryota; Metazoa; Chordata; Mammalia; Lagomorpha; Leporidae
Source: Ensembl